GCCUGCUUAGCUCAGUUGGUUAGAGCAUCCGUCUCAUACGCGGGUUGUCACUGGUUCAAAUCUAGUAGCAGGCAAAG
This 77-nucleotide transfer RNA is filed under the name Elliptochloris bilobata. RNAcentral's name for it is "tRNA-Met". It matches the Rfam family "tRNA". From Rfam's summary of the family: Transfer RNA (tRNA) molecules are approximately 80 nucleotides in length. Their secondary structure includes four short double-helical elements and three loops (D, anti-codon, and T loops). Lineage: Eukaryota; Viridiplantae; Chlorophyta; Trebouxiophyceae. The record is from RNAcentral.